UUUUAAGUCCGAAUUGUCUAGUAAUUACAAAAAAGUGAAGAGUUUACAGAUAUACAAGGAAAUAAAGGCGAAUUAUUGCAAAGAAAACAAGUUUAAUUUCACUUUGAACGACAACGAUUUUUCUGGAAAGCAGAUACUUCACUCCUUUAAGUUUCCACCCAAGCCACAAUAAUUUCAAACGGUCUUGCGGAUGACCCAGCUGGUCACUCUUGUUUAUGUGGGGACUGGAGGUAAUGAGAGCCAAAAAAAGUGCUAUAAACCUAAUUUGGCUAGAGCAAGUUCACACGACACGACCGUGCUUUAAAAACUUGCUCUCCAUUAUGUACUUCCUUCCAUCAGGUUGGGGGGAAAAAAAUGGUGGGGAUGGUGAGUAAAUACACCAGUGGUUUCAUCAGAGGGGAACUCACUACUCAGGAGGUGACGGUGACGUGGUGCCGGUCCCUGAAGUACGCGCACAAGCUCCGGAGGUUGCGGGAGCUGAGGGAGGAAACAGGGACACGGUCAGAUUCGCUCCAGGUGGCGGGAGUGAGGAGGGGAGGAGUGACGAGGCGGACGUGCGGGGGCGGGGGUGUCCAACACAAACACAAACACGAACACGCUCAGCGUCCCCGGGGAGGGCGGACUGAAGCCACCUCACCAUUCAUCGCCCCUGGACCCCGCAGUCCCCCCUCGGACUCAGGGCCAGAGCCUUCUGCGAAGUAACCUAGCCCCAGGGAAACGGUAGCGGCCGCAGAAGCCCCGCUCUCUGUAACGGCCGCGGAGGAGCAGCAAGCCUCCCUGUGAGUCGGUGGGAGACAAGACGGAGCGGCGGUAAGGGCGGUAGGGAAGUGAAGCGCCUCUCUCCACCUUGUUACAGCGCGCUGAAAGCGGCCUACCCACCCCAUCGCUGCCGUUUUGCCUACCCGCUCCCCCCUUCCGCUGCCGCCUGGAGGGAAGCCGGAGCGACGGGGGUCACGGCGGCGGUCAGAGGGUAAAGGUCUUGCUCCCAGCAGCCUCCGCGGUGGAUACGUCGCCAUCUUGGAUCCGCGGGACAAGAAAAUUCAUGCGAGGGAGACGUGGUGGGCGGUCCUUCCUGUGACACGACCCUUGAGUGACAGUUCUAUUUGAUUGCCUCCGGUACUGUGAGGAAAGGACACGACUCUAUGGUGAGGACUGAUGGACAUACAUUAUCUGAGAAAAGAAACUACCAGGUGACAAACAGCAUGUUUGGUGCUUCAAGAAAGAAGUUUGUAGAGGGGGUCGACAGUGACUACCAUGACGAAAACAUGUACUACAGCCAGUCUUCUAUGUUUCCACAUCGGUCAGAAAAAGAUAUGCUGGCAUCACCAUCUACAUCAGGUCAGCUGUCUCAGUUUGGGGCAAGUUUAUACGGGCAACAAAGUGCACUAGGCCUUCCAAUGAGGGGGAUGAGCAACAAUACCCCUCAGUUAAAUCGCAGCUUAUCACAAGGCACUCAGUUACCGAGCCACGUCACGCCAACAACAGGGGUACCAACAAUGUCACUUCACACGCCUCCAUCUCCAAGCAGGGGUAUUUUGCCUAUGAAUCCUAGGAAUAUGAUGAACCACUCCCAGGUUGGUCAGGGCAUUGGAAUUCCUAGCAGGACAAAUAGCAUGAGCAGUUCAGGGUUAGGUAGCCCCAACAGAAGCUCGCCAAGCAUAAUAUGUAUGCCAAAGCAGCAGCCUUCUCGACAGCCUUUUACUGUGAACAGUAUGUCUGGAUUUGGAAUGAACAGGAAUCAGGCAUUUGGAAUGAAUAACUCCUUAUCAAGUAACAUUUUUUAAUGGAACAGGUAAGCUUAUUCUGGAGCUAG
Molecule: long non-coding RNA, 1813 nt
Filed under: Pan troglodytes (chimpanzee)
Lineage: Eukaryota; Metazoa; Chordata; Mammalia; Primates; Hominidae
Description: long non-coding RNA NONPTRT003557
Source: RNAcentral